AGUGAAUAGAUACCCUGGUAGUCCACGCCGUAAACGAUGGAUACUAGCUGUUCGGAGCAAAUCUGAGUGGCUAAAGCGAAAGUGAUAAGUAUCCCACCUGGGGAGUACGCACGCAAGUGUGAAACUCAAAGGAAUUGACGGGGGCCCGCACAAGCGGUGGAGCAUGUGGUUUAAUUCGAUGAUACGCGAGGAACCUUACCAGGGCUUAAAUGUAGAUUGACAGGACUGGAAACAGUUUUUCUUCGGACAAUUUACAAGGUGCUGUAUGGUUGUCGUCAGCUCGUGCCGUGAGGUGUCAGGUUAAGUCCUAUAACGAGCGCAACCCCUGUCGUUAGUUGCCAGCGAGUCAUGUCGGGAACUCUAACGAGACUGCCAGUGUAAACUGUGAGGAAGGUGGGGAUGACGUCAAAUCAUCACGGCCCUUACGUCCUGGGCCACACACGUGCUACAAUGGUAGGUACAGAGAGCAGCCACUGCGCGAGCAGGAGCGAAUCUACAAAACCUAUCUCAGUUC
RNAcentral lists this ribosomal RNA (514 nucleotides) under uncultured bacterium. RNAcentral's name for it is "bacterial SSU rRNA". It matches the Rfam family "Bacterial small subunit ribosomal RNA", at positions 774 to 1294 of the family's 1533-position model. The record is from RNAcentral.